ACGAACCGUGCGAACGUUGUUCGGAAUCACUGGGCUUAAAGGGCGCGUAGGCGGGCUGCCAAGUCUGGGGUGAAAUCCCACGGCUCAACCGUGGAACUGCCUCGGAUACUGGCGGCCUCGAGGGAGGUAGGGGCGUGCGGAACUGUGGGUGGAGCGGUGAAAUGCGUUGAUAUCCACAGGAACUCUGGUGGCGAAGGCGGCACGCUGGACCUUUUCUGACGCUGAGGCGCGAAAGCCAGGGGAGCAAACGGGA
Molecule: ribosomal RNA, 253 nt
Filed under: uncultured prokaryote
Description: partial 16S ribosomal RNA
Rfam family: Bacterial small subunit ribosomal RNA
Source: RNAcentral